GGAGAAGCCUGGUUUGAGUGAGUUUUUCCUGAAGCAAAAGGGAAGAGCUUAAUUUCAAAAGGAAUAUCUUGAAAGACCCAUCAACUCACCAUUAGAAAACAUGAAACGACAGAUUAUAUCCUAAGAUUGUGUGAACCUCUUACCUGGAAACCCGUACAAUUGCUUUGUCUACCAAUCCUAAACUAUUAUAUCUUGAUCUUUACUCAAUCCUAAUUACACACCCACAUUGAAAGACCUAUCUUAAUUCAGACUUCAAAAUCUUACAAACGUCCAAGUCCCUCCUUUGAAAUGCUACUAAGACUGCAGUAAGAAUACAUAGCAUGCAGUGACUGAGAGGAAGAGAGAUACUAACACUUGAAGUAAUCCAGUCUAUCAAUAGGGGAUGGACUACUUCAAUUUAAAGCGAUUUACAAAAGGAUUUGGAUACCUCAUCUCUCCUGUUUCGCCAAGGUCUUGACUUAUCGCUGCAGAUGACUAAACCCAUUGAGAUAAAUCUCCU
RNAcentral lists this long non-coding RNA (499 nucleotides) under Pan troglodytes (chimpanzee). Its description in RNAcentral is "lincRNA". Lineage: Eukaryota; Metazoa; Chordata; Mammalia; Primates; Hominidae. The record is from RNAcentral.